This 254-nucleotide ribosomal RNA is filed under the name uncultured bacterium. RNAcentral's name for it is "partial 16S ribosomal RNA". It matches the Rfam family "Bacterial small subunit ribosomal RNA", at positions 526 to 779 of the family's 1533-position model. The record is from RNAcentral.
CGUAGGGGGCUAGCGUUAUCCGGAAUUACUGGGCGUAAAGGGUGCGUAGGUGGUUUCUUAAGUCAGAGGUGAAAGGCUACGGCUCAACCGUAGUAAGCCUUUGAAACUGGGAAACUUGAGUGCAGGAGAGGAGAGUGGAAUUCCUAGUGUAGCGGUGAAAUGCGUAGAUAUUAGGAGGAACACCAGUUGCGAAGGCGGCUCUCUGGACUGUAACUGACACUGAGGCACGAAAGCGUGGGGGAGCAAACAGGAUU